AGGGGCAGCAUGGUCUCAGCUUGCUAAGGCCGAUGGCGACCGGCGCACGGGUGAGUAACACGUAUCCAACCUGCCGUCUACUCUUGGACAGCCUUCUGAAAGGAAGAUUAAUACAAGAUGGCAUCAUGAGUCCACAUGUUCACAUGAUUAAAGGUAUUCCGGUAGACGAUGGGGAUGCGUUCCAUUAGAUAGUAGGCGGGGUAACGGCCCACCUAGUCUUCGAUGGAUAGGGGUUCUGAGAGGAAGGUCCCCCACAUUGGAACUGAGACACGGUCCAAACUCCUACGGGAGGCAGCAGUGAGGAAUAUUGGUCAAUGGGCGAGAGCCUGAACCAGCCAAGUAGCGUGAAGGAUGACUGCCCUAUGGGUUGUAAACUUCUUUUAUAAAGGAAUAAAGUCGGGUAUGCAUACCCGUUUGCAUGUACUUUAUGAAUAAGGAUCGGCUAACUCCGUGCCAGCAGCCGCGGUAAUACGGAGGAUCCGAGCGUUAUCCGGAUUUAUUGGGUUUAAAGGGAGCGUAGAUGGAUGUUUAAGUCAGUUGUGAAAGUUUGCGGCUCAACCGUAAAAUUGCAGUUGAUACUGGAUAUCUUGAGUGCAGUUGAGGCAGGCGGAAUUCGUGGUGUAGCGGUGAAAUGCUUAGAUAUCACGAAGAACUCCGAUUGCGAAGGCAGCCUGCUAAGCUGCAACUGACAUUGAGGCUCGAAAGUGUGGGUAUCAAACAGG
RNAcentral lists this ribosomal RNA (722 nucleotides) under uncultured Bacteroidales bacterium. RNAcentral describes it as "bacterial SSU rRNA". It matches the Rfam family "Bacterial small subunit ribosomal RNA", at positions 65 to 776 of the family's 1533-position model. The record is from RNAcentral. Lineage: Bacteria; Pseudomonadati; Bacteroidota; Bacteroidia; Bacteroidales.